UGUGUGGUUCUGCUUCACCUGGUUGGAAACAACUCGAACUAGCAAAGUGAUAGAAAAAUAAGAGAGGAAAUGAGAAGGUUAAAGAUGACAACAAAAUUUGAAAAGUGCAAACUGACUACAGGAGAAGAACCGAUUUAACCCAGCCAAGACAGGUGAACAUGAUCUUAUGCAGAUACUGAGGAUCAAGGCUGUUUAGCCUGUAAAACCCCAUAAAGAUAUAGAAAGCAAAAACUGGGCAUGUGUUCUAGGUUAACCAACAGGCUUAAUAUUUAGAAAUUUGGAAGUAAAGGCUAGGAUUUUAUUUUUAAAGAAGCUACAGUAAUAAAAAAAUAAAAUAAACUGUUGCCUCUUAGGAAUAGGAUUGGAAUGUGGAAAAGAAUAAAGCAUGGAUUAUUUUUUU
This is a long non-coding RNA of Pipistrellus kuhlii (Kuhl's pipistrelle), 400 nucleotides long. RefSeq lists it as uncharacterized. The transcript is spliced from 2 exons. The record is from RefSeq and is a predicted model, not a curated record. NCBI's taxonomy places the organism in Eukaryota, Metazoa, Chordata, Mammalia, Chiroptera, Vespertilionidae.